UGGGGAAUAUUGCACAAUGGACGGAAGUCUGAUGCAGCGACGCCGCGUGGGGGAUGAAGGCUUUCGGGUUGUAAACUCCUUUCAGUACAGAAGAAGCUUUAUUGUGACGGUAUGUGCAGAAGAAGCGCCGGCUAACUACGUGCCAGCAGCCGCGGUAAUACGUAGGGCGCGAGCGUUGUCCGGAAUUAUUGGGCGUAAAGAGCUCGUAGGCGGUUUGUCGCGUCUGCUGUGAAAGACCGGGGCUUAACUCCGGGGCUGCAGUGGGUACGGGCAGGCUGGAGUGCGGGAGGGGUAACCGGAAUUCCUGGUGUAGCGGUGGAAUGCGCAGAUAUCAGGAGGAACACCGAUGGCGAAGGCAGGUUACUGGGCCGUUACUGACGCUGAGGAGCGAAAGCAUGGGGAGCGAACAGG
This 411-nucleotide ribosomal RNA is filed under the name Verrucomicrobiota bacterium. RNAcentral describes it as "Verrucomicrobia bacterium partial 16S ribosomal RNA". It matches the Rfam family "Bacterial small subunit ribosomal RNA", at positions 355 to 776 of the family's 1533-position model. The record is from RNAcentral. Lineage: Bacteria; Pseudomonadati; Verrucomicrobiota.